RNAcentral lists this ribosomal RNA (1506 nucleotides) under Staphylococcus lugdunensis. RNAcentral's name for it is "partial 23S ribosomal RNA". It matches the Rfam family "Bacterial large subunit ribosomal RNA", at positions 444 to 1628 of the family's 2925-position model. The record is from RNAcentral. Lineage: Bacteria; Bacillati; Bacillota; Bacilli; Caryophanales; Staphylococcaceae.
AUAGGGGGACCAUCCCCUAAGGCUAAAUACUAACAUGUGACCGAUAGCGAACAAGUACCGUGAGGGAAAGGUGAAAAGAACCCCGAAAGGGGAGUGAAAAAGAACCUGAAACCUUGAGCCUACAAGCAGACAGAGGGCAAGAGCCUGAUGUCGUACCUUUUGUAGAAUGGGCCAGCGAGUUAUCAUAUAUAGCAAGGUUAAAUCUUUAAGAGAUGAAGCCAAAGCGAAAGCGAGUCUUAAUAGGGCGAAAGUUAGAUAUGAUAGACCCGAAACCGGGUGAUCUAUCCAUGGUCAGAGUGAAGGUGAAGUAAAAUUCACUGGAGGCUCGAACCGGGUGCGGUUUAAAACGCAUCGGAUGAACUGUGGAUAGGGGCGAAAAACCAAACGAACCCGGAGAUAGCUGGUUCUCCUCGAAAUAGCUUUAGGGCUAGCCUAUGACCAAAGAUUUAAGGAGGUAGAGCACUGACUGGCCUAGGGCGGCUAACCGUACCAAAGCCUAUCAAACUCCGAAUGCCAAAAAAUCAAGUCAUGGAGUCAGACUUAGAGGGAUAAGCUCCUAAGUCGAAAGGGAAACAGCCCAGACCGACAGCUAAGGUCCCAAAAUCUGAAUUAAGUGGAAAAGGAUGUGAACCUACUAAGACAACCAGGACGUUGGCUUAGAAGCAGCCAUACAUUUAAAGAAUGCGUAAUAGCUCACUGGUCAAGUGGGUUUGCGCCGAAAAUAAACGGGGCUAAAAUUCAGUACCGAAGCUUCGGAUUGAUAGAGAAUUUAAAAUUGCUCAAUCAACUCUAGAACAAACAUAAAGAGAAGAAAAGGUAAAACUUAGACGGAAAUAUUACAAUACAAUCAAGAUAAAACGAGUUAUUCAAAAUUUACGCAAAUAUCAAACACUAAGAUAAAGGUAAGUUGUAAAUAACUACGAUUAUCACCGAAAACAAUCGCAUAUAUUAAUAUAUGUAACUGGUUUAAAAUAUAGUCGGCACUUUGACAAAUCUAAGAUUUGAAACAGUGCGACAUUUGACCUACUAACAAAUCAAAGAUUUGAGUUAGGUCAAGAAAACGUCAAAGUAUUUACCAGCAAUUUUAAAUACUCUAUCAGUGGUAGAGGAGCAUUGUAUUAGGGAAGAAGCCCAAGCGAAAGCAGGCGUGGACUUAAUACAAGAGAGAAUGCUGGCAUGAGUAGCGAGAAGGAGUGUGAGAAUCACUCCCGUCGAAACCCUAAGGACUCCUGAGCAAGGCUCGUCCCCUCAGGGAAAGUCGGGACCUAAGGCGAGGCCAAAAGGCGUAGCCGAUGGAUAACAGGUCUAUAUUCCUGUACCGCUUAAAGUCGCUAUAGAGAAGUGAUGACGCAAGAGGAUAAGCUAAGCUGCCCGAUGGAAGGCAGUCUAAGCACAAAGGCCGAUUAGUAGGCAAAUCCGCUAAUCAUAAAGCUGAUGUGUGAUAGGUAUCGAAAACAUGAGUAGAGAAGUAGCCGAUUUCAAAUUGCCAAGAAAAGUCACUAUCAA